Molecule: long non-coding RNA, 469 nt
Organism: Ipomoea triloba (trilobed morning glory)
Lineage: Eukaryota; Viridiplantae; Streptophyta; Magnoliopsida; Solanales; Convolvulaceae
Exons: 2
Source: RefSeq, a predicted model, not a curated record
CAGUUUUCUUCUCUGCCCUAAAAUCCUAAAUCUCGUCACUCCCUCACAUAUUCAAAAUCAGCCCUAAGAUGGUAAUUCAUUCGAUUCGAAGAAUCCCAAAAAAUCUUCGCGAAUUGAAGCUUUUUGGUAUCCCUUCAAUCCGAAUGCUCUGGGCGGGAGUACGCAGUGCCGUUUGAAUUGAAGUCACUUUGAUGUGAGGAGAGGUGUCUUGGCUCCUUUUAGGGUUUGCUAGAUGUUAGAGGGAAGGGGAGAGCUCGAAGAUCUAAGGAUUGGUUUGAGUUGAUUCUAAUUCUUGGAGAGGUCGCGAUGGAUUUGGAUUUUAAUGGUGACGUAGCUCCUGUAGCUCCAGGAGGUGUCUCCUUUGGCCAUCAAAGCUAAUUCGUAUGUUGCCAAGAAGCUCUUUGAUCAGUGGUUGUCGCUUCCUGAUACAACAUCCUUGGUUGGGACAAUCUCUGUAAAUGGGAAGAGA